This 479-nucleotide ribosomal RNA is filed under the name uncultured bacterium. RNAcentral describes it as "bacterial SSU rRNA". It matches the Rfam family "Bacterial small subunit ribosomal RNA", at positions 30 to 524 of the family's 1533-position model. The record is from RNAcentral.
AUUGAACGCUGGCGGCAUGCCUUACACAUGCAAGUCGAACGGCAGCACGGGAGCAAUCCUGGUGGCGAGUGGCGAACGGGUGAGUAAUAUAUCGGAACGUGCCCAGUAGUGGGGGAUAGCCCGGCGAAAGCCGGAUUAAUACCGCAUACGACCUGAGGGUGGAAAGCGGGGGAGUCGCAAGACCUCGCGCUAUUGGAGCGGCCGAUAUCAGAUUAGCUUGUUGGUGGGGUAAAAGCCUACCAAGGCGACGAUCUGUAGCUGGUCUGAGAGGACGACCAGCCACACUGGGACUGAGACACGGCCCAGACUCCUACGGGAGGCAGCAGUGGGGAAUUUUGGACAAUGGGCGCAAGCCUGAUCCAGCCAUGCCGCGUGAAGGAUGAAGUAUUUCGGUAUGUAAACUUCGAAAGAAUAGGAAGAAUAAAUGACGGUACUAUUUAUAAGGUCCGGGCUAACUACGUGCCAGCAGCCGCGGUAAU